ACUGAUCUGCAAUUGUUUGAUUUGGAUUCAUCCACUUAGGAAUCUAAGCAAACAGAUCAGCUAUCACCAUCAUAUUUUCCCAGAUAAUUCGACAAAGGGAAAAAUUGUCAUUCAACAAAUGGGACAACUAGGAAAGGUUUAACCUGCUAAAGGUCUUGCCUGGCUGUGGAAGACAUUUGGAUGAAAUAAAUGGGUUAUAUUUGGCAUACAUUAGGAAAGAAAGUAGAGAAGUAUGUAAAAAACAUCCGAAAUUGGCUCACUUAAAUCCAUAACUGGUUCACUUAUAAAUCUACUCUCUUCUUUUUUUAAUAUAACUAGACCAAUUUUAGUAGCUCUUAAAUCAACACAACUGGACUCAU
This 359-nucleotide long non-coding RNA is filed under the name Elaeis guineensis (African oil palm). RNAcentral describes it as "long non-coding RNA (EGUI_LNC072944)". Lineage: Eukaryota; Viridiplantae; Streptophyta; Magnoliopsida; Arecales; Arecaceae. The record is from RNAcentral.